Molecule: ribosomal RNA, 235 nt
Filed under: uncultured bacterium
Lineage: Bacteria
Description: partial 16S ribosomal RNA
Rfam family: Bacterial small subunit ribosomal RNA
Source: RNAcentral
CGGACGGGUGAGUAACGCGUGGAUAACCUGCCUCACACUGGGGGAUAACAGUUAGAAAUGGCUGCUAAUACCGCAUAAGCGCACAGUACCGCAUGGUACGGUGUGAAAAACCCAGGUGGUGUGAGAUGGAUCCGCGUCUGAUUAGCUAGUUGGCGGGGUAACGGCCCACCAAAGCGACGAUCAGUAGCCGACCUGAGAGGGUGACCGGCCACAUUGGGACUGAGACACGGCCCAA